UUGAACUCUCGAAGCAUGCCUGGUACGUUGAAAUAAUAAUGCGUGCCAUCCACUAUCCGUUCAUUGAACUAAAUACAACUGGAACGCUACCUCCCAAAAUUUGAAGUCAUAAAAACUCAACUAGUCCCAAUCAUUCGUCUGAGGACAGAAAGAAAGUUCACGAGGAAACUAAGCUUAAAUACUUUACGUUAAAUACGCGUGAGUAUUUUUAGGUACUUCUUACCACAGGGAGGGAAGGUGCUCAAGAGGUUAAAUAUCACAAUGACGAAUUGUUAGACGAAGACGUCAACAAGCGAUGUCAGUUAUGACGCAAAUAUAUGACGCAAAAAUCACUGUUGAAAUCAUUAAUAAAACAGACAUUUCACUAAAGAAAA
Xenia sp. Carnegie-2017 is the source of this 374-nucleotide long non-coding RNA. RefSeq lists it as uncharacterized. The transcript has 2 exons. Lineage: Eukaryota; Metazoa; Cnidaria; Anthozoa; Malacalcyonacea; Xeniidae. The record is from RefSeq and is a predicted model, not a curated record.